RNAcentral lists this unclassified non-coding RNA (644 nucleotides) under Hevea brasiliensis (rubber tree). The record is from RNAcentral. Lineage: Eukaryota; Viridiplantae; Streptophyta; Magnoliopsida; Malpighiales; Euphorbiaceae.
GUGAAGACCCUGGAAUAGAAAAAUGGCAGGUAGUCAAAGUCAUCUGUUUUAAUUGGUUCCAUUAUUGCUGCUACAGCGUGUCUUGCUGAUUUUCGAGCUGAGUCAACAUGCUCAAGCCUACGUGUUUCAACAAAUAGUUGGACCGGAAAUGCUGCAACAUCUCCUACAGCAUAGACUGAGCUGUUGCUUGUCCGCAUUCUCCCAUUCACUUUGAUCCCACCCUUCUCCAAAGUGAGUUGACCUUCAAAGAGGCUUGUGUUUGGACGUAUUCCAAUUCCUACCACAACCAUGUCUACAGGUAGCCGACUUCCAUCUCUAAGAUUAACAGCUGUGACCUUUCCAUUGGAAUCCAUAUCAAAAGAUGACAAGACAGUUCCCUUGAUGAAUUUUACUCCUUUAGAUUUGUAAUAAUCUUCAUAAUAACUAGCAAUCUUGGGUGUAAACAAUCGGGCCAUGAAAUGUGCUUCAGGGAAAACCAUAGUCACAUUUAUUUUAUUGAUCACCAAAGAAGCAGCACACUCCAUUCCUACAUAGCCACCACCAACGACAACAGCAUUCCCACCAGCACAUGAUUGCAUCAUUAACAAGCCUGUCUGCAUCUGCUAAAUCUCGUAAAUAACAAACAUUUUCAGCAUUUGAUCCAC